This 372-nucleotide ribosomal RNA is filed under the name uncultured Glomeromycotina. RNAcentral describes it as "SSU rRNA". It matches the Rfam family "Eukaryotic small subunit ribosomal RNA", at positions 670 to 1045 of the family's 1831-position model. Lineage: Eukaryota; Fungi; Glomeromycota. The record is from RNAcentral.
UCGGUAUGUACUGGCUUUACUGAUUCCUCCUUCUUGACGAACCGUGAUGUCAUUAAUUUGGUGUUGCGGGAAAUCAGGACUGUUACUUUGAAAAAAUUAGUGUGUUUAAAGCAGGCUAACGCUUGAAUACAUUAGCAUGGAAUAAUGAAAUAGGACGUUAAUCCUAUUUUGUUGGUUUCUAGGAUCGACGUAAUGAUUAAUAGGGAUAGUUGGGGGCAUUAGUAUUCAAUUGUCAGAGGUGAAAUUCUUGGAUUUAUUGAAGACUAACUACUGCGAAAGCAUUUGCCAAGGAUGUUUUCAUUAAUCAAGAACGAAAGUUAGGGGAUCGAAACGAUCAGAUACCGUCGUAGUCUUAACCAUAAACUAUGCGGA